CACACACACAUACAUACAUAUGCGAAGACUAGCUUGUGAGGUUUUAUAAAUGAAAAUUUAAAAAGAAAUAUUUUUUAGGGUAACGUUUUAUAGCAAGAUCUUAAUUUUAAUUUGUAGAUUUAUAUUUAACCAAUUAAACUGGGGUAUUUUAUAAAAUAUACCUCUAAAGGGGUGUUAUAAGGAUUAUAAAGGCGUGUUAAAAGCUUCAGUCGUGGACAGAUUUGGAGCUGGAUCUCACACAAUAAGCCAACAAAGCCUUAAGCUUUCACUAUAAGCCGAUAGGUGAUUAUUUAAGGCCUGGUCCAAUCCUGAAACUCAAAGGCUGGUUGCGACCCAUCGACAAGACUUUUAUUCUUCCCCCCCCCCCAACGUAAAAUAUUGAAAGGACUCGUAGGCAGCCAUCAAUUCAAAAAUUCAAUUUUUUCCACGUCGUUCUUAAGUAUGUCUCUAAUUACAUUUCAACUAAAUAAAUAAAUAAAAUAAAAAGUACAAGCACAUCAAUAUGUUUGAAAUUUUAUUAUUUUAAGAUACAAAAUAAAACGGAUGAUCUAAAUAAAAGUUUUUAGUCUCUUAACAAGAACAUCAACAUUUCGUAUAAUUAAGCGGCUGUCUUGUCCAUUUUUAUUAACAAAAGAAGGAUACAUAAGCAAGAUAUACUUGCAGUUGAUUGAGCGAUUGUCUUGUCCAUUUUUAUUAACGAGACCAAAAUCAAAUCGCAAAUGCAACAAAAGUUAUAGCUAGGCAGUAGGCAGGCAGCAUUAAUUAAUUAUCCAUUACCGACCAAAAAGAAAAGAAGCACCGCACCAACCAUCCACCAUUCGAGAUUGUGAUUAAAACUCCACGUGCAGCAUCAGCAAUGACAUGUCACAGGCAUUUGCUUCAAAAAGAAAUCAUUUAGAAUUAGACCAUACAACAAAUAAAUAUACAGUGAGUGCAUCCACGACCUUGAAUUGAGUCAAUCCUGUAUCAACAUCGUUAAACGAUGCUAAUGGGGUUGGUAAUGGCUAAUUAAUUUUCAUAACAAUGAAAUUAAAAUAACCCAUUAAAAUGGCUGAGAAUUUGUUACGUAAUCAAACAUUGGAUGGCCAAUGAUUAAUGGAAAUGCUCUUAAGGCUUACCUCAUCGCCGUCAUCAUCUUGUAAUGACAGUUAACCGUUGACUUAUUGUUAUGGACACAACCACCAUUGCUGAUCUGUUGGUCCCCGCAGCACGCUUGCCUCUAAUUUUUGAUAUUUUUAAUUAGGUAGUGCUUAUUGAGCAACUGGGAGGAUUAGGUGUGUGUUCAGUCACAUACACACACAUCUAUCUUGCACUUGCUAUCACCACCUAACGUUUUUGACCGAAAUCAAAUCCUUCGAACAAUGCAAGUGUGUAUAUAUAUAUAUAGGGUCCGCACCUAACGUUUAAUGUAACGUACAGUCAGCCUGUGAAAUUUCAUCUAGCCCCUUAUACUCUAUGU
RNAcentral lists this long non-coding RNA (1459 nucleotides) under Citrus x clementina. RNAcentral's name for it is "Citrus clementina (C. clementina) long non-coding RNA (CCLE_LNC005732)". The record is from RNAcentral. Lineage: Eukaryota; Viridiplantae; Streptophyta; Magnoliopsida; Sapindales; Rutaceae.